UACCUACUGGCAAUGGGAAAAGAGACACCUUGUUGGUGGUGGUGUUCUUAUGUCAGUCAGCGGCAGAGCAGAUGGCAGCCUUUUCUUUAUCCUACCUUGAUUUGUGGCUUGAGGGCCUAACCUGUCUUAUGCCUAGGACUCAUAA
Small nucleolar RNA from Mastomys coucha (southern multimammate mouse), 145 nucleotides. RefSeq annotates it as small nucleolar RNA SNORA48. Lineage: Eukaryota; Metazoa; Chordata; Mammalia; Rodentia; Muridae. The record is from RefSeq and is a predicted model, not a curated record. The transcript has a single exon.